Long non-coding RNA from Culex pipiens pallens (northern house mosquito), 1245 nucleotides. RefSeq lists it as uncharacterized. The transcript is spliced from 3 exons. NCBI's taxonomy places the organism in Eukaryota, Metazoa, Arthropoda, Insecta, Diptera, Culicidae. The record is from RefSeq and is a predicted model, not a curated record.
AUCCGUCCACCGGUGGUCGGAUUGCCUGUCAAAGUUGGCAAGAGGAACUGGUCCACCGGUGGACGGAUUCCUGGGCAAUGUUUAGCAGGAGGAAUCCGUCCACCGGUGGAUGGAUUGGCUGCCUAAUUUGACAAGAGAGACUGGUCCACCGGUGGACGGAUUCCUGGACAAUGUUUUGCAGGAGGAGUCCGUCCACCGGUGGAUGGAUUGGCUGCCUAAUUUGGCAAGAGAAACUGGUCCACCGGUGGACGGAUUCCUGGGCAAUGUUUUGCAGGAGGAAUCCGUCCACCGGUGGUCGGAUUGGCUGCCUAAUUUGGCAAGAGGAACUGGUCCACCGGUGGACGGAUUCCUGGGCAAUGUUUUGCAGGAGGAAUCCGUCCACCGGUGGUCGGAUUGGCUGCCUAAUUUGGCAAGAGAAACUGGUCCACCGGUGGACGGAUUCCUGGGCAAUGUAUUGUUUUUUUUUUGUUUAUGGAUGGUCCCAAACUAACUUUAUUCUAUUUUAGGCCGUCUCGAGGUAAUUAUUGUGCGAUCCGGAAGUCAACAUCGCCCAACUAAGGUGUGCAACGGAGUUAGUUGAACCGUCCCGUUUUUCCGUAUCAAUUUUAUCACCUGCAGCGGUGGAUCAACGGGCGCGAUCAACAUGCUCAAGUGCUUUCUCAACGACGGUCUGGGUUCGUCUUCGCUGCAGCCAUUGGCCUGGAUGAUCUGCGGGAGGAUGGCACCAGCGAUGACCAGUAAAGCCGAGGCAGCAGUUGCCUCCUCGACGGCCGUGAUAGACCCGUGUUCAUCUACUUGACGGCGGGUAGCCUCCAGCAGUACCGCUUGUUCCUUCUCCUGCUCCUCCGGUUCCUUAAAAAAGAACAGAUCGGGCCUCAGCUCCCACUUGGCCGCUGGUCAUAAGCGGCCACGGGAAGUCGUAGAGGAACUACAGAUAUGGAGGAAUAGUCCGGUGAAAAGAUUCGGAGGAUUGACGGAAUGAUUGACGACGGUAAGCAACUGCCAACCAAGAACUUCAAGGACUACAUCGAUCUCUACGUCAAGGAGCAGCAGGAAGAUGAUAGUUCGACGAUUAAGGCCUGCUACGAGAAUGCCAACGAGCGCUGAGAAGUUGUGGUAGACAUCUCGGAGAAAGGCUUCCAGCAGGUUUCGUUCGUCAACUCGAUCGCUACGACCAAGGAAGGUCGCCACGUGGACUACGUCACGGACAUCGUCGUGAAGCAGCUGAAGCUGAAGAAGAACAUG